RNAcentral lists this ribosomal RNA (271 nucleotides) under uncultured bacterium. RNAcentral describes it as "partial 16S ribosomal RNA". It matches the Rfam family "Bacterial small subunit ribosomal RNA", at positions 42 to 305 of the family's 1533-position model. The record is from RNAcentral.
GCGUGCCUAACACAUGCAAGUCGAGCGAAGCAAUAGGUGCUUGCACCAAUUGACUGAGCGGCGGACGGGUGAGUAACGCGUGGGCAACCUGCCUUACACAGAGGGAUAACACCGGGAAACUGGUGCUAAUACCGCAUGACAUUAUUUUAUCGCAUGGUAGAAUAAUUAAAGGAGUUAAAUCUGGUGUAAGAUGGGUCCGCGUCUGAUUAGCUAGUUGGUGGGGUAAAGGCCUACCAAGGCGACGAUCAGUAGCCGGACUGAGAGGUUGAUC